UAUGGCCAUAUCACAUUGUAACACCAGUUCCCAUAUGAUCACCAAUGUUAAGCACUGUCAGGCCUGGUCAGUACCUACGUGGGUGACCAUUUGGCAAUACCA
This is a non-coding RNA of Acanthosepion pharaonis, 102 nucleotides long. The record is from the annotation of a GenBank genome assembly. NCBI's taxonomy places the organism in Eukaryota, Metazoa, Mollusca, Cephalopoda, Sepiida, Sepiidae.